GCCAGUUGCAACUCAAGAAAUGGAAAUCAGCAACCGUGAUGGCUUUGCUGGAAAAAGAGUUGAACAUCGUGAAGGAUUAUGUAGAAUGAACACUGUACAGGCUAUUGAAAUAAUUGGCGAACUUUUUGGAGACAAACUGACAUCCAUGAUUCUUUACUUGGCACGUAGGAACAUGCCCACACAUUGGGAUUCUUUCAUGCAGCACUUACACCUUCUAGU
RNAcentral lists this unclassified non-coding RNA (219 nucleotides) under Hevea brasiliensis (rubber tree). Lineage: Eukaryota; Viridiplantae; Streptophyta; Magnoliopsida; Malpighiales; Euphorbiaceae. The record is from RNAcentral.